UAGGGAAUCUUCGGCAAUGGACGAAAGUCUGACCGAGCAACGCCGCGUGAGUGAAGAAGGUUUUCGGAUCGUAAAACUCCGUUGUUAGAGAAGAACAAGGACGUUAGUAACUGAACGUCCCCUGACGGUAUCUAACCAGAAAGCCACGGCUAACUACGUGCCAGCAGCCGCGGUAAUACGUAGGUGGCAAGCGUUGUCCUGAUUUAUUGGGCGUAAAGCGAGCGCAGGCGGUUUCUUAAGUCUGAUGUGAAAGCCCCCGGCUCAACCGGGGAGGGUCAUUGGAAACUGGGAGACUUGAGUGCAGAAGAGGAGAGUGGAAUUCCAGGUGUAGCGGUGAAAUGCGUAGAUAUAUGGAGGAACACCAGUGGCGAAGGCGGCUCUCUGGUCUGUAACUGACGCUGAGGCUCGAAAGCGUGGGGAGCAAACAGG
Molecule: ribosomal RNA, 429 nt
Filed under: Bacillota bacterium
Lineage: Bacteria; Bacillati; Bacillota
Description: Firmicutes bacterium partial 16S ribosomal RNA
Rfam family: Bacterial small subunit ribosomal RNA
Source: RNAcentral